UCAAAAAAUUUCAUCAGUGUAUGUGUGUCAGAAGUUCGGAAUGAUCUAUUGAACUGUAAGAAGCUGUUACUUUCUGGAACAUGGAAGAAAUUAACGAACGUGGACGCAUGUGGCUGCUCGUGGUGGAAGGUAGGUGGCUGAAAUUAUUAGUGUGCCGGCUUAGAAAAUCGCAUUAUGCUUGUUUCAGGGAAUCUAUUGGCCUUAAAGAUUCCUUGGAUAAGUUUGGUGUGGUGAUUUUCGUUUAUGAGUAAGUUCACUAUUUAAUUUUGCCCUUGCCUCCAUCACGGUUAUUAAAACUCGUUACAAAUUAUGACUGCCGAAAACAUGUGUGACUAGGAGAUGACUAGGAAUAUGAUUCAGGAUGGUGAUGAUCCUAGCAAAAUCGAUGGAUGCCUUUGAUGCGUGGCCUUCUCCCCUUUUGAUGCUUUCAGGAUCAACAGUAGCAUAUUAUUGCCUAGAUCUGUUGAACAUUUGCGUUCAUACAAACGACCAGACUCUUUGUUUUAAACUGUAGUCAAACACAGGACACGUUUUAUCACAACUUUCAAUGCUCCCUAAAUUGUUUUUUUUUGUUUUUUUUUAAUUUUAUUUUUUUUUUAUUUUUUUUUUUGUGCUAAUUCGAGCUGUUGAUUUUUUUUAUGCUUUUAGGUCGGCGGCGGAAAAUACGCCGAGAGAUUUGCCUUUCUCGUCCGCGACCUCAUAGCAACUGGUGCCCCUUUUGGCCACGAUGACACAGGGGACAAACUGCGGACCGAUCUUCGCAUUGAAGUGGUUUCCUGCCGAAGAUUGCCGGAAGCUUCUUUUAAAAACCCGCUGGCCAAUGAUGAAAGAGGGAAUUGUAUUUAUGUUUGCCGCUAGCAUCGCGAUCUUGCAGUCUUCCCUCGUGUUCCUGAAGAGGACGUCAAACUUCCGGCCUUCAUCCCAUGGAUAAGACAUGUUCCGGAAGAUGCGGACCAUUUCCAGAUAGUAAUCCUGGAACUUUUCUCGUGGACCUUGGCGGCGAGCGUUCAGCAUCCUUUCGUACUGGAAAUCAAUGUCAAUAGCUUUCAGAAUUGCGCGCAAGGUGCGUUCUCGUUUGGAACGGGAAUCCUCAGGCGCGAAAGCUUUGCGUAUACGCAACUCAUGACUGAGUUCUUCUUCCGAGAGGUGUGCCGUGUUUAAGGCGGAAUAUAGUGCUUUCAGUUGCGUCAAAUCCAUUGUGCAGCUUAGGAGAAAUUACUUGAAAUAAUGUUUGAAACAAAUAAUAUAAAUAACAAAAAACGAAUAAUUUAGAACUAAAUAUUAAUUAAUUGAAAUUAAAGUUUUAAUGUAUCACAGUUUAAUAGGGUGGCAAUAAAAUGAAAUAUUUUGCUAUUGUUUUUAUUUUCCGAUCGCACACUCCACUAUUGAAAUUUUGCUCCAAUUUAAAUUAAAUUUAAAAUAACUUCACUCCGAAUACUUAAUAAGCUUUCCUGUU
Uranotaenia lowii is the source of this 1456-nucleotide long non-coding RNA. RefSeq lists it as uncharacterized. The transcript has 4 exons. NCBI's taxonomy places the organism in Eukaryota, Metazoa, Arthropoda, Insecta, Diptera, Culicidae. The record is from RefSeq and is a predicted model, not a curated record.